GCAUACGUUAUUUUAAUAAUGUACAAAAAGGUGAAAAGAAUUCACGCGUGCAACAAACGAGCAACUUACCCCCCCUUUGCAAGAAGUACGACGACGAUGAGGGGGUUGUUUUGAAAACUGUGAGAAUUAUUUACUAUAUUAGGUUCCCACGUUCUGACCGAGUAACCCUCUUUACGGUACGUGGUUCGCGAACGAUUCACUCGUAGCUCGGAUGAGGGUGCGACACUAUACCGACGACGGACUCGAAUCGAAUUAUCCUUAUGACUUAGUCCCUUCCUUCUGGCGCUCACCCUCCCUUCGCCCUCCUCUGUUCGCUCCAUUUAUUAAUCUUAAAUCACCAAACGCCUAAGACCUUUUUGUCGCGUACUCGACCCUGGACCCCGACCCCUCCCCCGACCCUGCAGUCGACUCGGCUUCUGGUCUCUGGUGCCUGCACCGAUCGUUUAAAUCGUCGGCUAUUUCCCUAUAUGUUCGCAGUAUUAUUUCUUCCUCGUUUCCCUGCAACUCUACUCAUCAUAGCUUAUACGUACGUAUUCUGUGUGUAUGUAUAGCUCACACAAAUUACAUCCGUUUUUCCCUUUCCUUUUACUUUACCCCGCCAAAAGUGCACCUUCAUCUACCUUACUUCAUGUACUUAAACGUUUUCUCUCGAAUCGUAAUACAAAAUACCCGACUCAGUAUCGCGUGUAAAAUACUACGUAGUCGAGUGGGAUUUUUUUCUCUCUUUUUCUUUCUUUGCUUUUUUUUUUUUUUUUCAAGUGACGCGUUCGGUUCGGUUCCGUAUAAGAUUUUUAUUAUUUUCGUGCGAUGUCGCGAAAACAUCCGAGGAAUUUCAAAUUACUACAACAAACGUGUAGUAUGUACAUCGUCAACUUUUAUCGAAAAUCGAACGUUUAUAGCGCAUCUCGAGAACCAAUAUGCCACAUGCUGGACAAAUUUCAACCACGAAGGGCGAGCGAGGGUGAGAUAAAAAAAUAAGUACUUCAGAACUAAACGGUUGCUCAACUUGGAGGCUGAAGAUGUCAUAAAUCCAAACAUAUAUUCGUGGAAGCUAGGACAAGUCGAGGAAUGAGAUGAUGAAAUCUCUUCGAAGAGCAGAAGAAAUUGUAUUACAUACAGUGUGAUCGAAACGUGGGACACAUGAACUUAUCAGCAUUGAAAAAUUUCAAGAAACGCGGAAAAUUUUUUGAAGAUUCUGAAACUGCGUUGCAUCGAAAAAUUGCAAGACACUGGAGCUUUUGUAAUGAGAUCCUGUCCGCAGAACAAAAAUUAGCAAAUGAAGCAAAGGACCAUGAAAAAUGGAUUCAACAACUGGCAUACACUCUAAAGAGAAGCAUUCCAAAAUGAAGACAGACAAAACCAACCACCUUCAAACAGCUCUUGCAGGUGGUAGCCACUAGCUAGAUAAAGAUUCGGAUAACAAAAUACCUGGUCAAAGAAAGAGGCCAGUUACCACCGGAAUUUCAAAGCCAGCGAGAGAUCAACCCUCUCGAUGAAACGAUCAGAAACGAAUCCGUGGUCAUCUAGACUUCCAAACUGUAGAAAAAUUAAGGGUACGACCAUGGACUGUGAUUGCAAGUCCUACACGUUAAUUUAUAAUCUACUUCAGUGCUUAGUUUAUAGUUGAAAUUUCUAUUCAACAUUUUUUUAAUUGAGUAAAUCAUCAUUUUCCAAGA
Planococcus citri (citrus mealybug) is the source of this 1676-nucleotide long non-coding RNA. RefSeq lists it as uncharacterized. The transcript has 3 exons. The record is from RefSeq and is a predicted model, not a curated record. Lineage: Eukaryota; Metazoa; Arthropoda; Insecta; Hemiptera; Pseudococcidae.